This 889-nucleotide ribosomal RNA is filed under the name Salmonella enterica. RNAcentral describes it as "partial 23S ribosomal RNA". It matches the Rfam family "Bacterial large subunit ribosomal RNA", at positions 1918 to 2806 of the family's 2925-position model. RNAcentral also lists the same sequence under 2 other names. The record is from RNAcentral. Lineage: Bacteria; Pseudomonadati; Pseudomonadota; Gammaproteobacteria; Enterobacterales; Enterobacteriaceae.
CCCCGGUAAACGGCGGCCGUAACUAUAACGGUCCUAAGGUAGCGAAAUUCCUUGUCGGGUAAGUUCCGACCUGCACGAAUGGCGUAAUGAUGGCCAGGCUGUCUCCACCCGAGACUCAGUGAAAUUGAACUCGCUGUGAAGAUGCAGUGUACCCGCGGCAAGACGGAAAGACCCCGUGAACCUUUACUAUAGCUUGACACUGAACAUUGAGCCUUGAUGUGUAGGAUAGGUGGGAGGCUUUGAAGUGUGGACGCCAGUCUGCAUGGAGCCGACCUUGAAAUACCACCCUUUAAUGUUUGAUGUUCUAACGUGGACCCGUAAUCCGGGUUGCGGACAGUGUCUGGUGGGUAGUUUGACUGGGGCGGUCUCCUCCUAAAGAGUAACGGAGGAGCACGAAGGUUGGCUAAUCCUGGUCGGACAUCAGGAGGUUAGUGCAAUGGCAUAAGCCAGCUUGACUGCGAGCGUGACGGCGCGAGCAGGUGCGAAAGCAGGUCAUAGUGAUCCGGUGGUUCUGAAUGGAAGGGCCAUCGCUCAACGGAUAAAAGGUACUCCGGGGAUAACAGGCUGAUACCGCCCAAGAGUUCAUAUCGACGGCGGUGUUUGGCACCUCGAUGUCGGCUCAUCACAUCCUGGGGCUGAAGUAGGUCCCAAGGGUAUGGCUGUUCGCCAUUUAAAGUGGUACGCGAGCUGGGUUUAGAACGUCGUGAGACAGUUCGGUCCCUAUCUGCCGUGGGCGCUGGAGAACUGAGGGGGGCUGCUCCUAGUACGAGAGGACCGGAGUGGACGCAUCACUGGUGUUCGGGUUGUCAUGCCAAUGGCACUGCCCGGUAGCUAAAUGCGGAAGAGAUAAGUGCUGAAAGCAUCUAAGCACGAAACUUGCCCCGAGAUG